UGGUUCCUUAGACCUGACAGCUCACCAUA
This 29-nucleotide non-coding RNA is filed under the name Mus musculus (house mouse). Lineage: Eukaryota; Metazoa; Chordata; Mammalia; Rodentia; Muridae. The record is from RNAcentral.